GACGAACGCUGGCGGCGUGCUUAACACAUGCAAGUCGAACGGAAAGGCCCUGCUUUUGUGGGGUGCUCGAGUGGCGAACGGGUGAGUAACACGUGAGUAACCUGCCCUUGACUUUGGGAUAACUUCAGGAAACUGGGGCUAAUACCGGAUAGGAGCUCCUGCUGCAUGGUGGGGGUUGGAAAGUUUCGGCGGUUGGGGAUGGACUCGCGGCUUAUCAGCUUGUUGGUGAGGUAGUGGCUUACCAAGGCUUUGACGGGUAGCCGGCCUGAGAGGGUGACCGGCCACAUUGGGACUGAGAUACGGCCCAGACUCCUACGGGAGGCAGCAGUGGGGAAUAUUGCGCAAUGGGCGGAAGCCUGAUGCAGCAACGCCGCGUGCGGGAUGACGGCCUUCGGGUUGUAAACCGCUUUCGCCUGUGACGAAGCGUGAGUGACGGUAAUGGGUAAAGAAGCACCGGCUAACUACGUGCCAGCAGCCGCGGUGAUACGUAGGGUGCGAGCGUUGUCCGGAUUUAUUGGGCGUAAAGGGCUCGUAGGUGGUUGAUCGCGUCGGAAGUGUAAUCUUGGGGCUUAACCCUGAGCGUGCUUUCGAUACGUGUUGACUUGAGGAAGGUAGGGGAGAAUGGAAUUCCUGGUGGAGCGGUGGAAUGCGCAGAUAUCAGGAGGAACACCAGUGGCGAAGGCGGUUCUCUGGGCCUUUCCUGACGCUGAGGAGCGAAAGCGUGGGGAGCGAACAGGCUUAGAUACCCUGGUAGUCCACGCUGUAAACGGUGGGUACUAGGUGUGGGGUCCAUUCCACGGGUUCCGUGCCGUAGCUAACGCUUUAAGUACCCCGCCUGGGGAGUACGGCCGCAAGGCUGAAACUCAAAGGAAUUGACGGGGCCCCGCACAAGCGGCGGAGCAUGCGGAUUAAUUCGAUGCAACGCGUAGAACCUUACCUGGGUUUGACAUGGAUCGGGAGUGCCCAGAGAUGGGUGUGCCUCUUUUGGGGUCGGUUCACAGGUGGUGCAUGGCUGUCGUCAGCUCGUGUCGUGAGAUGUUGGGUUAAGUCCCGCAACGAGCGCAACCCUUGUUCACUGUUGCCAGCACGUUAUGGUGGGGACUCAGUGGAGACCGCCGGGGUCAACUCGGAGGAAGGUGGGGAUGACGUCAAGUCAUCAUGCCCCUUAUGUCCAGGGCUUCACGCAUGCUACAAUGGCUGGUACAGAGAGUGGCGAGCCUGUGAGGGUGAGCGAAUCUCGGAAAGCCGGUCUCAGUUCGGAUUGGGGUCUGCAACUCGACCUCAUGAAGUCGGAGUCGCUAGUAAUCGCAGAUCAGCAACGCUGCGGUGAAUACGUUCCCGGGGCU
Molecule: ribosomal RNA, 1346 nt
Filed under: uncultured bacterium
Lineage: Bacteria
Description: bacterial SSU rRNA
Rfam family: Bacterial small subunit ribosomal RNA
Source: RNAcentral